This 465-nucleotide ribosomal RNA is filed under the name Vreelandella stevensii. RNAcentral's name for it is "partial 16S ribosomal RNA". It matches the Rfam family "Bacterial small subunit ribosomal RNA", at positions 338 to 795 of the family's 1533-position model. Lineage: Bacteria; Pseudomonadati; Pseudomonadota; Gammaproteobacteria; Oceanospirillales; Halomonadaceae. The record is from RNAcentral.
CCUACGGGUGGCUGCAGUGGGGAAUAUUGGACAAUGGGCGAAAGCCUGAUCCAGCCAUGCCGCGUGUGUGAAGAAGGCCUUCGGGUUGUAAAGCACUUUCAGUGGGGAAGAAAGCCUUGGGGCUAAUACCCUCGAGGAAGGACAUCACCCACAGAAGAAGCACCGGCUAACUCCGUGCCAGCAGCCGCGGUAAUACGGAGGGUGCGAGCGUUAAUCGGAAUUACUGGGCGUAAAGCGCGUGUAGGCGGUCUGAUAAGCCGGUUGUGAAAGCCCCGGGCUCAACCUGGGAACGGCAUCCGGAACUGUCAGGCUAGAGUGCAGGAGAGGAAGGUAGAAUUCCCGGUGUAGCGGUGAAAUGCGUAGAGAUCGGGAGGAAUACCAGUGGCGAAGGCGGCCUUCUGGACUGACACUGACGCUGAGGUGCGAAAGCGUGGGUAGCAAACAGGAUUAGAUACCCGUGUAGUC